AUGAACGCUGGCGGCGUGCUUAAUACAUGCAAGUCGAACGAAGUCAGUAGCAAUAUUGGCUGAGUGGCGAACGGGUGAGUAACGCGUUGGUGACCUGCCCCGAAGAGAGGGAUAACAGUCCGAAAGGAUUGCUAAUACCCCAUGUGGUCGUUUGGAUUAGAUGCCUUAUGACUAAACGGAUUUAUUCGCUUCGGGAGGGGCCUGCGUCCCAUCAGCUAGUUGGUAGGGUAAUGGCCUACCAAGGCGAUGACGGGUAGGGGACCUGAGAGGGUGGCCCCCCACAAUGGAACUGAAACACGGUCCAUACACCUACGGGUGGCAGCAGUAGGGAAUAUUGGUUAAUCUGCGAAAGCGGGAACCAGCAACGCCGCGUGCACGAUGACGGCCUUCGGGUUGUAAAGUGCUUUUUGAAAGGAUGAGGAAGGACAGUACUUUCAGAAUAAGCUUCGGCUAACUACGU
This 460-nucleotide ribosomal RNA is filed under the name uncultured bacterium. RNAcentral describes it as "bacterial SSU rRNA". It matches the Rfam family "Bacterial small subunit ribosomal RNA", at positions 29 to 506 of the family's 1533-position model. The record is from RNAcentral.